UGAGGAAUAUUGGACAAUGGGCGCAAGCCUGAUCCAGCAAUGCCGCGUGCAGGAUGAAGGCCUUCGGGUUGUAAACUGCUUUUGUACGGAGCGAAAAGGUCUGCCCUAAUACGGUGGGCUCAUGACGGUACCGUAAGAAUAAGCACCGGCUAACUACGUGCCAGCAGCCGCGGUAAUACGUAGGGUGCGAGCGUUAAUCGGAAUUACUGGGCGUAAAGCGUGCGCAGGCGGUUAUAUAAGACAGAUGUGAAAUCCCCGGGCUCAACCUGGGACCUGCAUUUGUGACUGUAUGGCUAGAGUACGGCAGAGGGGGAUGGAAUUCCGCGUGUAGCAGUGAAAUGCGUAGAUAUGCGGAGGAACACCGAUGGCGAAGGCAAUCCCCUGGGCCUGUACUGACGCUCAUGCACGAAAGCGCGGGGAGCAAACA
RNAcentral lists this ribosomal RNA (427 nucleotides) under uncultured bacterium. RNAcentral's name for it is "bacterial SSU rRNA". It matches the Rfam family "Bacterial small subunit ribosomal RNA", at positions 355 to 774 of the family's 1533-position model. The record is from RNAcentral.